RNAcentral lists this small RNA (17 nucleotides) under Arabidopsis thaliana (thale cress). Its description in RNAcentral is "ATSL049470". Lineage: Eukaryota; Viridiplantae; Streptophyta; Magnoliopsida; Brassicales; Brassicaceae. The record is from RNAcentral.
AAAAAAAGAACAAAAAA